UCCUGGCGUAAUUGUCAGGGCCACACGUCUGCUCAUCACGGCAAUCUUAGUUGUCAUUAAAUGCAACUGCAACACUUAGUAAGUAAUGAAAGGAUGAAGCGGUGGUGCUCUUGAAAGAUGUAGUAGGCUAGAUAAC
Molecule: non-coding RNA, 136 nt
Filed under: unclassified sequences
Description: RT-16 RNA
Rfam family: RT-16 RNA
About the family: candidate division DUSEL4 (Archaea). Nearby to self-splicing intron genes
Source: Rfam by way of RNAcentral